CUUUUUUAUAGCUCUAGGUCAGUCACAUACUAUAGCUUCCCCCUAGCUUUAUUUUUGCAUUUACAGUACUCUGCUGGCUGGUAUACGCUCCUCAUGCCCCGCCUCCCGUCCUCCUGUUCAUAGUGGACCCUCUUGGUGCUCCUGCUGUCACAGGUGUUUAGUGUCAAACUGUCCGUGGCCAGCAGGGACGCGCUUACCUUGACGUGAUCAACCUUGAAAUGAAAAGAACUAAAUCCAGACAGUCAGGGUAACAGACAUGUCAGCCAUUAGGGAUUUUUUCCUUCCUUCUCUCAUAUUUUUGCUCGUUCCUGACUUUUCACUCUUGCUCUUCCUCACUUUCGCUUUACAUUAUUUCUCUUUACAUUCCUUUUUCAUUUGCACAUUGCCAACCUUCCUUUACUCUCUCUGCUGAUUCCAUUUUUUUCUUUUUACCUUAUUUUCCUCUUACCGUUCAUUUUAUCCUAAUUUCAUUUUCUCUGAGUAUGUUCUGUCUUUUGUUCCUCCAUCUUCUCUUUCCUUAGUCUGUUUCUUAACUUAUGCCUCCCACAAGUCCUUUUCUCCCGUUUCCUUUCCUUUGUCUUGCCACACUACAGCCACAUGUGAGUGGAGUUAUGGAGUUUGAUUAUGUUCAGAAGACCUUAUUGUGAUUAUGCGUUCUUACACUCUAAUCUGGGUUUGUGUGUAGCUCAUCUUCUGACCAGCUAAGUGCUUUGUAGAGGAAAAAAAAAUCACGCCACAGUGAAUUAUUUCUGGCUGGGUUAGUUUUAUUUCUCUGGGCACUUUGAUAAUGGAGAGGAUUUGAAUAAUGAAUGGGGUAUAUAAUACUGUUCUUCAGACCCGCUGAAUGAAUUUAGCAAGUGCAUAUAAGUGAGUUUCUGUGAGUGCCUCUAAUAUACACCCCUACAUUUCUAUUUCUAUUUUUGGAGCUGGAACAUGAAUGUGCUCUUCUGUGAAAGAAAUGAAAUUGCUAGAAAUGUUUUUUAAUUUUUGCUAUUUCUUUUUUUUUUUUUAAUUGCUUCUCAUCUGUCAUCAGGCAGGAAGGAUCUCUCGCCUGCAGCCUCCAGUGUUGCCAUUUCUACACAGACUAUUCAGACAUGUUUCCACAACUGAAUCGUAUCUGCAUACGAUUGGCCUCAAGCACAGGGUGUUAGAGUCUAAAUUUCUUUCUAUCCUACAUUUCUAAUUUUCUCUGUGGAAGCAAUGACAGUUUGCUGGUGCUUCAGAAUAUUUGUAUUUUAAAGUCAAAUUACUGAUUUGAGUUCCUUUGGAACAAGAGACUACUAUAAUUACAGGAAGUGCUAUAAGCAAGUUCAUUUUAGUUUCAGCCUACCCUCUAUAACUUUGUCUCCAUUAAUAUUAUUAUUCCGUUAUUUUGGAAACCUGUCAGCCAUUCUCACAAACUGCCUGACCAGCAGUACAAAACAUUCUCAAAAAAGAGAAAAUAAAGGCAGCACUCUCACAUCAGGCAGUGGAAUUAAAAGAUUAUCCCCAUUAUUAAUGAUUUAUUUUCUGUUUAUUUAUCUAUUACUUUUAUAUGAAGUACAGUAAACACACACACACAACAUGACUGCCAUGUGUCUGUGGAUUUACAUCACUUCAGUGUC
Long non-coding RNA from Astatotilapia calliptera (eastern happy), 1604 nucleotides. The record is from Ensembl. NCBI's taxonomy places the organism in Eukaryota, Metazoa, Chordata, Actinopteri, Cichliformes, Cichlidae.